Molecule: ribosomal RNA, 474 nt
Filed under: Pseudomonas sp.
Lineage: Bacteria; Pseudomonadati; Pseudomonadota; Gammaproteobacteria; Pseudomonadales; Pseudomonadaceae
Description: bacterial SSU rRNA
Rfam family: Bacterial small subunit ribosomal RNA
Source: RNAcentral
UGCAGUCGAGCGGAUGACGGGAGCUUGCUCCUUGAUUCAGCGGCGGACGGGUGAGUAAUGCCUAGGAAUCUGCCUGGUAGUGGGGGACAACGUUUCGAAAGGAACGCUAAUACCGCAUACGUCCUACGGGAGAAAGCAGGGGACCUUCGGGCCUUGCGCUAUCAGAUGAGCCUAGGUCGGAUUAGCUAGUUGGUGAGGUAAUGGCUCACCAAGGCGACGAUCCGUAACUGGUCUGAGAGGAUGAUCAGUCACACUGGAACUGAGACACGGUCCAGACUCCUACGGGAGGCAGCAGUGGGGAAUAUUGGACAAUGGGCGAAAGCCUGAUCCAGCCAUGCCGCGUGUGUGAAGAAGGUCUUCGGAUUGUAAAGCACUUUAAGUUGGGAGGAAGGGCAGUAAGUUAAUACCUUGCUGCUUUGACGUUACCGACAGAAUAAGCGCCGGCUAACUCUGUGCCAGCAGCCGCGGUAAUAC